CCUACGGGUGGCAGCAGUGGGGAAUAUUGCACAAUGGGGGAAACCCUGAUGCAGCGACGCCGCGUGAGUGAAGAAGUAUUUCGGGAUGUAAAGCUCUAUCAGCAGGGAAGAAAAUGACGGUAGCUGAUGAAGAAGCCCCGGCUAACUACGUGACAGCCGCCGCGGUAAUACGUAGGAGGCAAGCGGUAUCCGGAGUUACUGGGUGUAAAGGGAGCGUAGGCGGCAGCACAAGUCUGGAGUUAAAUGCCGGGGCCUAACCCCGGUACAGCGUUGGAAACUGGGGAGCUAGAGUGCAGGAGAGGUAAGUGGAAUUCGUGGUGUAGCGGUGAAAUGCGUAGAUAUUAGGAGGAACACCAGUGGCGAAGGCGGCUUACUGGACUGUAACUGACGUUGAGGCUCGAAGGCGUGGGGAGCAAACAGGAUUAGAUACCCCAGUAGUC
RNAcentral lists this ribosomal RNA (440 nucleotides) under uncultured bacterium. RNAcentral describes it as "partial 16S ribosomal RNA". It matches the Rfam family "Bacterial small subunit ribosomal RNA", at positions 338 to 795 of the family's 1533-position model. The record is from RNAcentral.